CAACAGAAAUGUUCUAUUUAUAAGUCUUAUCAAGGUAUGUAAUUUGUAUCAUUAUUUCGUUGUAUAUUACAAUCACAAUUUUAAUACACAGACAUCCGCACAAUCACAAACACACAAUAGUGAACUGAAAAUGUAGUAAUAAUUUGUUUAGCUUUUUGUAUUUUAUUUUGAUGAACUCAGUUAUUUCAUGAGAUAUGUUCGAUCACAUUGAAUUGUUUACUAUACAAGGGUCUACAGGAUUUAAAAAAUAUGGCCGUUUUUAGCCCCACAGGACGCAAUUACGACUGGACACAAUUACGAACGAUUUCCAAUGUUUGCCCUCUGAGAUCAUAUUUGUUUAUAUUUAUCAAUAAAUGUUUUUAUAAAUAAAAACCUAUUAAAAAUCCCCUUGUUUCAUGAUAAAUACAAUUUAUGUGCACUUGGUGAAUGUUGAUGACGAUGACAAAAUCAUUCUGAAAAUAUUAUAAGAACGGCAAUCUGACCUGGAAGUUAUAUAAAAAAAUGAUAAAGGUAAGUGCAUAUUGCCUUCUUUUGUUAAUAUAUAGAAGAAAAAUAAUCUCCUUAUUCUGUUCAUAUGCGUGAUGCCUUUAUCAUGCCAAAUAACCCCACAAUGACGUUUUUUAGACUCUUGUGAACCUAUUUAUGGCCAAAAGAAAUAUGUUAAUUUUAUUGAAAAAAUCCAGAAACUCCGAAAGAAAUGUUGACAAUAUAAAAAAAAUCAUAGAUGAUGAAUAUAAGUACACCACCGAAAUGGAUAAACUUGAAUUAAGUGCUCCUUUAAAGGAGGAACUUACACAAAAAAAAAAAAAAAAUCAGAAAUCUUUCCUUUACACAUGACCGACAUUUCGUCUGCAACCACUGCUGAAGUAAUUGAAGUAAAAAACAAACUUGUGCUUUUUAUUUUCCUAUGAAAAUGUGUUUGAGAUAAAGAUUAAUGUAUGCUUGAUCAAUCUAGACUCUUGUCAUUGAUUUCUUCUGCAAGAUAUAUCAAUAUAAUGCUGUUCGGUAUUGCGUCCAUAUGUGGCUCUCUUGACCCGUAAAACGAGGUCACGCAAAUCUUACUAAAGUAUCCCAACGUGCAUAAAAAUUAAUGUGGGAUAUGAUGCAAAAUGGAAAGCCUUUAUAUAUCUUAAAUUCUAUGGUAUAGAAAAUUCAAGAAAAGUAGUCUACAUAAAAAAAAUAUUAAUCACAGUUCAAAAAUCGUUCGUAAUUGUGUCCGGCUAACAAACAAAAUCUACUAUGAGUACGGACAAACUAAGACAUCGAAAACGUUUUAAGACAUGGUAGGAACUAGAUAUAUAAAAGUUGUAUGAUAUCUAUAAUGUUUCAGAAAAUUAAAAACUUACCUGGAUUUUGAUGUGCAUUUUUUUCCAGUCUACAGAACAUAGCAAUAUAAACAAAUACACGAGUUUUAUUUGAUAUGGCACCUUCUGCAGGGACGGGAAAAACGCAAAAUGUAGUUAAGUUAUUUAUAUUCUGAAACUUGAAAUUCAUUUAAAUUCUAUUUAUCUAGGUCAAGCCAUGCUGUAAAGCUUUUCCAGAUGCACAGCAUGCACAGGUUUGUCGGUACUCAAAGCAAAAUUUGUAGUGUAAACAUGGUAAAUACAGCCACAUUUGCAAAAAUGUUAUGAUGAACCAUAACCAAUGUUGUCUUUUAGAACUUUUUACUGCCUUUGAUGUAAGCGCUCUCACCUGUACAAUUCGGUAACAUUAUUUUAACAAACCAUUAGUCCCACAGCUAAUAAGUCCGACGGCCCAUUGAUCCGAAAACACAUUAGUCCGACAACCCAAUAAUCCGACAACCCAUUACUCCGACAGAACAAUACUCUGUUGUUGUUGUUAUUGGUUUUGGUAGGCGACUUACUUAUUUAUAUAUACUCUGUAUAUAUAUAUAUUUUGUCUGUAUUAUAACAUAUAUGCUAUACCAUAUGUACAGAAUUGAUUCGAAAUCUGUAUACUAGAUAUAUAGUAUACGUAAGUACAAUUUCUGUAUAGGAAACUAUUCUGUAUAACUCAGUUAUGAAUGUUCGCGCCUUUCUGUAUAUACAAAAAUCGUUUAUGUAUUUAAAGAAUUCCAAAAAAGGAUAUACAUAAGUGUUUAUGUAUGGAUAAGGACCGUGCAGUUGCAAUAAGCAUGUGUUUAACUCCAAGGCACUGACACACAUAUCCCGCAUGAGAGUAGUUUGGUCUUUUUAGAUAAGAUUUACCUAUAAACUUAUGGCAUAUGCAGUGUCGGAAUAAUGGGAUGUCGGAUUAAUAAUAGGCUGUCGGAAUAAUUGGAUUUCGGAGUAAUGGGAUGUUGAAAUAAUGGUUGUCAGACUACCCGGAUGUCUUUAACAAUUCUUGCCAGAUUUUUUUUAUCAAACUUCUAACAUAGGAUUACAUCAGGAAUGUCUUUGACAAGUUCAAAAAUCAGUGCUGAUAAUUUAGUUUCAAAACAGUUUUAUGCCACUUGGAAACAUUUAUUAUAUAGAAAACUGCAUUGUUAUUACACUCAUUUGUACAAUUCUUGCCAGAAUGUUAUAAAAAUUAUUCCAUAGAUUUUUAAAAACCAAUGUGUUAGUCGAGAUAAUUAAUCAUGCCAAUCAUUGAUUUUUCAAAGAGUUAUACCCCUUGGGAAAAUUAGUUAUAUGAAAAUUGCUUUUUGAGCCUUUCAAUGCAUUUCACGGGUACAAAUCUUGCAGAAUACGCAUAACAUUUGCAUCAUGUGCAUAGUCUGAAACAUUCAUUACCCUAAGAAAUUUAUUAAAAGUGUUAAAGAAAAAAUAAUCAACCGUCACCAUCACAAUCAUCAUCACAAUCAUCAUCACAAUCACCAUCACCAUCAUCAUUCCCAUAACCAUCACCAUAACCGUCAAAUCACCAUCACUAUAACCAUCACCAUCAUUAUUAUCAUAACCACCACCAUAACCAUCAAAUCACCAUUACUAUCACCAUUACUAUCACUAUCACCAUAACCAUAAUCAUCACUAUCGCAGUAGCCCCCGCAGUAGCCACAGCCGACAACGAUUUGAAUAUGUAAAGUAUGCACUUAUGUACAUAUAAUCUAUUGUAGAAGUAUGGCAACCAAUUCCAGUAAUUGUGGUGUUGGUGAAAAUCUGCAAAUUAAUGAACAGUCAGUAGUAUGGUGUUCCAAAUGUGAUGAAGGACUCUGUGAAGAAUGUACAAAUCAUCACGCUGUUUCAAAUGCAUCAAAAAGCCAUGAAACCGUUUCUAUUGCCGAAUACAAAAAGUUACCGACCGAAGUCAUACACAGCGCUCAGACUUGCAAACUUCAUAAUGAGAAAUUCGAACUUUUCUGUAGAGAUCACGAUUGUCCAUGCUGUCAGAAAUGUGUGAAUUCUCACAACGAUUGUAAAAGUUUAACGGACAUAAAUGAACUCAUAAAGAACAUAAAAACCUCAAAUGCUUUUUACGAAUUCGAACAAACCCUGCUGGAAGUUGUCCAGAAUAUUAAACAACUCCGCACUAACAGGAGAGAAAAUCUAACAUUGCUAGAAAAUAAGAAGAGAGAAAUUGAAGCAGAAAUAAAACAAAGCAGGAUACAUAUAAACCACCACCUUGAUAAACUCCAGGAUGACUUGAUUAAAGAAUUAGUGAGAGUUGAACAAAAAGAAAAUAGAAAAAUAGAAAAAUUAUUGACUACUCUAAAAAAGAAGGAAUCAGAUAUCAUUGAGGUACAAGAAAACAUUGCCACUAUUAAACAGCAUGCGCCUGAACUUCAAACAUUUUUAACCAUGAAAAAUAUCGAAAAAGAUAUUGCAGUCGAAGAAACUUUUUUUCAAUCGAUUGCCACAAGUGGAUCCACAAAUCAAGUCAAUAUUUCAUUCCAGAUUAACAAGUCUUUACAGGAAAUCUCUGCCAUCGUACAGAAUUUUGGGGAAAUUAAUGUCAGUUCUGAUCCAUGUGAUUUUCCCAUCCAGAAACGGAAGGAUAGACAAGCCCAGAUUAUGGUAACCUUUCCAACCAGAAAUAUUGAUAACCUAACUCUGAAAUUACAGAAACGUAUCAAUACUGCAGGAUUGUCAAAUGUUCAUAGUUGUGCACUGCUUCCCGGCGAUAAGAUGGUAUUCUCCUGUACUAAGCAAUAUAAGAUAAAAGUAUUCAAGUCUGACGGAUCGAAAGAUUUCCAAAUUAAGAAAAUUGGUCCAACGUUUAAUGUGGUAUUUAUUGGUGAUGAUUCUAUUGCUGUAACUUCUGGCUUUGGAAAUCAGAUCAAUAUAAUCGACUUAAAGAAGCACAAACUGAAGAAAUCAAUACAAAUUGAUUCGUACAAUAGUGGAGUAGUUUACAAAGAUGGACAUUUGAUUUAUUGUGCUGGGAGUAAAGGACUACAAAUGAUCAGACUGAAUGACGAAACCAUUACAAAUGUUAGCAAUUCCGAACUCCGAGAUUAUGCGUACGUUACAGCAUUAGGUGAUAAACUGUUCUACACAGAUUAUAGAUAUCACAGGGUAACCUGCUGUGAUAACCAUGGUAUCACACUGUGGACGUUUGAGGAUUCAAGUGUUCUGAUGUCUCCAUUAGGUAUCUCUGUAGACAAUGAUGGUAACGUGUAUGUAGCAGGAAAUUAUACUCACAAUGUGGUCAUUAUCUCUCCUGAUGGACAACGCUACAGACAACUCUUAUCAAGCGAUGAUGGACUAAAAAACCCGUGGGGUCUGCAUUAUGACACAUCGACCAAUAAAUUGCUAGUUGCAAAUCGAUUCAAUGAAGCGUUUUUAUUUGACAUUAAAUGACAAUAAAAGAAGAUUGAUUUUUCCAAACUCGACUUACCGAAUUUAUUAUUUGGUAGAUCUGGAUUACUAACAAGGUUUUAAAUGAAUUAUUGCAUUACGUGUGAUUUGUUUUUUACAUUUCGUUGUCAGCUAAUUGUUGACUUAUGAGCUUCAAUGUCUCUAUAGUAUAUUUUGUCUCUCCUUUUGAGACCGGUAUAAAUAUGUGCAUGUUUCUUAUCGGUAUCAAUAUUCAUUCCUGUAUGGAAAAGUUGCAAUGAUUUAAAUGAGAUUGCCAUGAAUUCCAAAGAUUUUUGGAUUGAAAAAAAAAUACAUGGUAGUGGUUCAAAGUAGAGAAAAACAGGAUUUGGGUUAUCCAUCCAUCACACAAAAUCAAUACAUGCAUGUAGAAAACAAAACUAUUACAAAUCAAAGAAACAACAUUUCUUCAUCGCAAAGUCAUAAUGUUUCCUUCAACAUGGAACAACAACAAAUUUUUCACCUCGCUGCAAGUUAAAGACGUCCCCUAGUGCAGCUUUACUGGAAUUGUUUGCAGAAUGAACUUUAUAAGAUAUAACACCACAAAAUUGGCAUGGUCGAAUUAACAUAUUGGAGAAUAGUAUACGUAUUUAAAACAAAACAGGGUGUAUACUCAUACAGUACAUACACUUGUAGUCUUAUUAUUUAAUAUGCAUGAAGAAUUGAAGGUUCGGGCUAAUUAUCAAUGAGACAAGAACCCAACGACAAAGUAAAUCAAUUCAAUAUAAAUGAAGAAAAAGGCGAUUUCUACUGAACCUUUACUUGCAUUAAACAAAGAUUGUCGCUUAGUCAUUAUAACGCUACCAAUGAUAAUUAUGAGGUAAUAGCACAGAAAAUAGAGGAAUAUGCGAAUUAUUUUCGCUAUGGUGACCUGUACCAACCGGAACGAAUAUUUGUUUACGAGGAGAUAUUUAUCAAGAGCCAUCGCAAAGUUUGUUUCUCGUGGCGUUAGGCUGUAUAUUUAGGCAUACCGGUAUGCGCUUAGAUUUUCACUUCCCAUGAUGGCUAUACUGGUAAUGAGAAAUGGAAGAUUAAAUCCUCGAAAGGAAUAUGUGAGGUAUAAUUGGUUAAGUGACCCUUCCGGGAGCGGUCUUUUUUAUUUAUUGAAAUAGCUAGAGGAAUCUAUCCGAGAACAACCAAUAAGUUACAAUCUUUCUCCAGGUGGAAUGUUGUAGCCAUUUGGACAUGGCAGAUUGUUUU
RNAcentral lists this long non-coding RNA (5954 nucleotides) under Mytilus galloprovincialis (Mediterranean mussel). Lineage: Eukaryota; Metazoa; Mollusca; Bivalvia; Mytilida; Mytilidae. The record is from RNAcentral.